CGGGAUGUUGGGUAAAUGGUAGCCCCCUUGAUUUGGGUUCAAGUACGUGCAGGUUCAAGUCCUGUCAUUCCGA
RNAcentral lists this transfer RNA (73 nucleotides) under Lachnospiraceae bacterium XBB2008. RNAcentral describes it as "tRNA_Pro_TGG". It matches the Rfam family "tRNA". Rfam says of the family: Transfer RNA (tRNA) molecules are approximately 80 nucleotides in length. Their secondary structure includes four short double-helical elements and three loops (D, anti-codon, and T loops). Further hydrogen bonds mediate the characteristic L-shaped molecular structure. tRNAs have two regions of fundamental functional importance: the anti-codon, which is responsible for specific mRNA codon recognition, and the 3' end, to which the tRNAs corresponding amino acid is attached (by aminoacyl-tRNA synthetases). tRNAs cope with the degeneracy of the genetic code in two manners: having more than one tRNA (with a specific anti-codon) for a particular amino acid; and 'wobble' base-pairing, i.e. permitting non-standard base-pairing at the 3rd anti-codon position. Lineage: Bacteria; Bacillati; Bacillota; Clostridia; Lachnospirales; Lachnospiraceae. The record is from RNAcentral.